RNAcentral lists this ribosomal RNA (689 nucleotides) under uncultured bacterium. RNAcentral's name for it is "bacterial SSU rRNA". It matches the Rfam family "Bacterial small subunit ribosomal RNA", at positions 32 to 715 of the family's 1533-position model. The record is from RNAcentral.
AACGCUAGCUACAGGCUUAACACAUGCAAGUCGAGGGGCAUCAGGGAUUAGCAAUAAUCUGCUGGCGACCGGCGCACGGGUGAGUAACACGUAUCCAACCUUCCGAUAACUCGGGGAUAGCCUUUCGAAAGAAAGAUUAAUACUCGAUAGUAUAAGUUUCCCUCCUGGUUAGCUUAUUAAAGAAUUUCGGUUAUCGAUGGGGAUGCGUUCCAUUAGUUUGUUGGUGAGGUAACGGCUCACCAAGACUACGAUGGGUAGGGGUUCUGAGAGGAAGGUCCCCCACAUUGGAACUGAGACACGGUCCAAACUCCUACGGGAGGCAGCAGUGAGGAAUAUUGGUCAAUGGACGCAAGUCUGAACCAGCCAAGUAGCGUGAAGGAUGACUGCCCUAUGGGUUGUAAACUUCUUUUAUAUAGGAAUAAAGUUAGCCACGUGUGGUUAUUUGUAGGUACUGUAUGAAUAAGGACCGGCUAAUUCCGUGCCAGCAGCCGCGGUAAUACGGAAGGUCCAGGCGUUAUCCGGAUUUAUUGGGUUUAAAGGGAGCGUAGGCCGUCUGUUAAGCGUGUUGUGAAAUGUAGAUGCUCAACAUCUGAAUUGCAGCGCGAACUGGCAGACUUGAGUGUGCGCAACGUAGGCGGAAUUCGUGGUGUAGCGGUGAAAUGCUUAGAUAUCACGAAGAACUCCGAUUG